Molecule: transfer RNA, 104 nt
Filed under: Sphingobium jiangsuense
Lineage: Bacteria; Pseudomonadati; Pseudomonadota; Alphaproteobacteria; Sphingomonadales; Sphingobiaceae
Description: tRNA-Leu
Source: RNAcentral
UAGGGAGAACUGGCAUUUUUGCUAUAUGCCGGAAUGUCGCGAAAUGCCCAUUUUUCUAAUUUGGGAGCAGAGGGUCGCAGGUUCAAAUCCUGUCUCCCCGACCA